RNAcentral lists this long non-coding RNA (359 nucleotides) under Linum usitatissimum (flax). Its description in RNAcentral is "long non-coding RNA (LUSI_LNC007978)". Lineage: Eukaryota; Viridiplantae; Streptophyta; Magnoliopsida; Malpighiales; Linaceae. The record is from RNAcentral.
UUCCCGAACCUGAUACACCCACCACGGCUAUAGUUUGUCCACCGUUGAUUUUGAGACUGAAAUUGCUUAAUACUAAGAGUUCUGGACGGGUCGGGUAGCAGAAAUCAACAUUCUUCAACUCAAUGCUUCCAUAGACAUUUGGAGGUUUCAGUGCUGAGGUCUCGUCAGGCUCAGAUGCUUCCAUAGACGUUUGGAGGUUUCAGUGCUGAGGUCUCGUCAGGCUCAAUCUUCGGCACUCUAUCUAUAAUAUCAAACACUGAGAUAAGGGAUUUUCGCCGCUUAAGUAUGUAAGGUGCCAAUCCAAAAGGCUCCACCAGUGCAAAGCUUGCAAAAGAGAAAACCAUGUAUUCCUUGAGAGC